ACACCGUUGAAGGUAGCUGCCGAA
RNAcentral lists this non-coding RNA (24 nucleotides) under Cricetulus griseus (Chinese hamster). Lineage: Eukaryota; Metazoa; Chordata; Mammalia; Rodentia; Cricetidae. The record is from RNAcentral.